GACAGAGGGUGCAAACGUUGUUCGGAGUUACUGGGCGUAAAGCGUGUGUAGGCGGCUUUGCAAGUCGGAUGUGAAAGCCCCGGGCUCAACCCGGGAAGUGCACUCGAUACUGCAGAGCUUGAGUAUCGGAGAGGUUGGUGGAAUUCUCGGUGUAGAGGUGAAAUUCGUAGAUAUCGAGAGGAACACCGGUGGCGAAGGCGGCCAACUGGACGAAUACUGACGCUGAGACACGAAAGCGUGGGGAGCAAACAGG
This 253-nucleotide ribosomal RNA is filed under the name uncultured bacterium. RNAcentral's name for it is "partial 16S ribosomal RNA". It matches the Rfam family "Bacterial small subunit ribosomal RNA", at positions 524 to 776 of the family's 1533-position model. The record is from RNAcentral.